UACGGAGGAUCCAAGCGUUAUCCGGAUUUAUUGGGUUUAAAGGGUGCGUAGGCGGCGCGCUAAGUCAGUGGUGAAAGACGGUGGCUCAACCAUCGCAGUGCCGUUGAUACUGGCGCGCUUGAAUGCGGAUGAGGUAGGCGGAAUGUGGCAAGUAGCGGUGAAAUGCAUAGAUAUGCCACAGAACACCGAUUGCGAAGGCAGCUUACCAAGGCGAUAUUGACGCUGAUGCACGAAAGCGUGGGGAUCGAAC
This 250-nucleotide ribosomal RNA is filed under the name uncultured bacterium. RNAcentral's name for it is "partial 16S ribosomal RNA". It matches the Rfam family "Bacterial small subunit ribosomal RNA", at positions 524 to 773 of the family's 1533-position model. The record is from RNAcentral.